This is a long non-coding RNA of Lepisosteus oculatus (spotted gar), 870 nucleotides long. RefSeq lists it as uncharacterized. The record is from RefSeq and is a predicted model, not a curated record. NCBI's taxonomy places the organism in Eukaryota, Metazoa, Chordata, Actinopteri, Semionotiformes, Lepisosteidae.
CAGACGCUCAGUUGCGAGACUUGCUCCGCCCCUCAACAGCCGUACGUGCUCGCCCCCGGUGGUGUCACAUGGUCUUGGAGAUCAGUUUUAUUGUGAAGCGAGGUUUUAUACAUUCAAAGUAUAGCGAGCUUCACUUUUCUAUAUCUGAAGAGCAUGAGAAUUUGUUUCUUGGCAAUGAUCAGGACAUUGGCCAGGCAAGGAGAAUGAACAGGGUCCGGCUCUAGCUGAACCUCCAGCACCUCAGAGAGGAUCCACAAGCCGGUGUAGCGGAGCUAGUUUGGACAUGGUGAUGUCAUCACCCACCCUGGGCUGAGGGAGGUCUCCUUUAGCUCCUGCGGCCGGUUCCCUGUUGCGUUAUGCCGGAGACCUGGGUUUGCGCCCCAGGUGUUGCGGGACGAACCGGCGGGGUGGAGCGGCGGAGGUGACACUAGCACUGCUGUUCAUGACCUGGAAGUCGUUGCUGGAGUACUUCCAGAUCCCGGCGAGCAGGAGACGGUGUCUGACUGGACCAUGGUCCCUGUCGUCCUCAAAGAAGAAGCCUGCGGCGCAAGUGGUGGACAUUGAUCGUUGGGCCCUGCUGUCAUUUUGUUGACAGAAAUUGCCUGACCAGGUGUUUGAAGUUACUUAUCGUAUUACAUCGGCAAACUCCUACUGCUUAGUCCACUAAUGUACCAGCCCACCAACUCGUCCACCUCCGUACUAAUCCAAACACCCACCUGCUGCUCAUCCUAACCACUGACCCCUGCCUAUUAGCUAACAGACUGACUAACUGGUCUUCUAAGCUACUAUCCACAAGCCGCCUUUCCUCUCUCAGAUCAGGAGGGUGGCUGCUACCAGCUGUGUUCAGUAGUAAAAGCUUUCUGCCCUGUU